Mercenaria mercenaria is the source of this 956-nucleotide long non-coding RNA. RefSeq lists it as uncharacterized. The record is from RefSeq and is a predicted model, not a curated record. The transcript is spliced from 5 exons. Lineage: Eukaryota; Metazoa; Mollusca; Bivalvia; Venerida; Veneridae.
UGAUGAUCAGAAGUGUAUGACGUCGUUCUCCCAGGUAGUUUUAGUAAAGGAGCUGUUGUACAGAACUUUAAGAGUAUCAGCAUCAUGUGUGGCAGAUGUGUGGAGAGAAACUGUGCAGACCAGUGUCACUAUGUGUAUAAAGGGUUAAGAUCCACUAGAUCUUACCUGGAAUGUAUACACCACCUUAAUAGACAUCCGAAGAAAUGUAUACCAUAUGAACUGAUAGAUGAAGUGUUGUUAUACUUGUAUAAAUUUGUGAGUGUUUGAUAAUGGCAAUAAAGGGCAGAAUACAACAAUGGAGGCCCCAAGUGAUAUCGGUACGAGAUAAGUAGGAUGAAGUCAUUUAACUCAAUUUUUGUGAGACCCUAUUAAAGUAAAGUGUCACAGAAUUCAUCAUAUAAAUAGUGCUUUAGAACAAAACAGUAUGUGUCAUUUAACUUCUGUCAGUGUCAUUAAAUGAGCACACAUCUAAAUUUUGACAUAAAAGUCAAAUAAUUAUAGCAGUUGUGGUUUCCAACUUAAACUGUUCAAGUGUUUAUCCAGAAAGUUUAUAAUAGUGACGUUCAUAUGCUUAGAAAAACAUAUUACGUAUAAAUAUUCGUGAGGACACGAAUUAUUAGAAUAGGAAGAAUACCGACCGACAUUUCGAGUGGGUUAUUCGUGACGAGAUAUUCUGGAACAGAAAAGAGCGGCAUUUAGAGAAGUCGUGGUAUUCUGGAACAGCAAGAUCAACAUUUCAAGACAUUUUAGUGUGAUGUUCAUCGGUGAAGAACAGUGACUUCAGUGUGAUGAACUGUUUGAUGUUUUUGGUGAUUUAUCAUUGAUUUUAAACAGUAUUGUCGUUAUUUCAGUAUCAGCAUCACGUGUGGCAGAUGUGUGGAGAGAAACUGUGCAGAUCAGUGUCACUGUGUGUAUAAAGGGUUAAGAUCCCCUAGAUCUUGCCUGGAAUGUAUACA